RNAcentral lists this ribosomal RNA (468 nucleotides) under uncultured bacterium. RNAcentral's name for it is "partial 16S ribosomal RNA". It matches the Rfam family "Bacterial small subunit ribosomal RNA", at positions 28 to 507 of the family's 1533-position model. The record is from RNAcentral.
GACGAACGCUGGCGGCGUGCUUAACACAUGCAAGUCGAACGGAAAGGCCCUGCUUUUGUGGGGUGCUCGAGUGGCGAACGGGUGAGUAACACGUGAGUAACCUGCCCUUGACUUUGGGAUAACUUCAGGAAACUGGGGCUAAUACCGGAUAGGAGCUCCUGCUGCAUGGUGGGGGUUGGAAAGUUUCGGCGGUUGGGGAUGGACUCGCGGCUUAUCAGCUUGUUGGUGGGGUAGUGGCUUACCAAGGCUUUGACGGGUAGCCGGCCUGGGGGGGUGACCGGCCACAUUGGGCUUGAGAUACGGCCCAGACUCCUACGGGAGGCAGCAGUGGGGAAUAUUGCACAAUGGGCGGAAGCCUGAUGCAGCAACGCCGCGUGCGGGAUGACGGCCUUCGGGUUGUAAACCGCUUUCGCCUGUGACGAAGCGUGAGUGACGGUAAUGGGUAAAGAAGCACCGGCUAACUACGUG